RNAcentral lists this ribosomal RNA (730 nucleotides) under uncultured eukaryote. RNAcentral describes it as "SSU rRNA". It matches the Rfam family "Eukaryotic small subunit ribosomal RNA", at positions 670 to 1426 of the family's 1831-position model. The record is from RNAcentral.
CGGGUGCACUGAUCCAGCCGGGCCUUUCCCUCUGUGGAACCCCAUGGCCUUCACUGGCUGUGGUGGGGAAACAGGACUUUUACUUUGAAAAAAUUAGAGUGCUCCAGGCAGGCCUAUGCUCGAAUACAUUAGCAUGGAAUAAUAGAAUAGGACGUGUGGUUCUAUUUUGUUGGUUUCUAGGACCGCCGUAAUGAUUAAUAGGGACAGUCGGGGGCAUCAGUAUUCAAUUGUCAGAGGUGAAAUUCUUGGAUCUAUUGAAGACUAACUACUGCGAAAGCAUUUGCCAAGGAUGUUUUCAUUGAUAAGGAACGAAAGUUAGGGGAUCGAAGACGAUCAGAUACCGUCGUAGUCUUAACUAUAAACUAUGCCGACUAGGGAUCGGACGAUGUUAUUCUUUGACGCGUUCGGCACCUUUCGAGAAAUCAAAGUGCUUGGGCUCCAGGGGGAGUAUGGUCGCAAGGCUGAAACUUAAAGAAAUUGACGGAAGGGCACCACCAGGGGUGGAACCUGCGGCUUAAUUUGACUCAACACGGGGAAACUCACCAGGUCCAGACACAGUGAGGAUUGACAGAUUGAGAGCUCUUUCUUGAUUCUGUGGGUGGUGGUGCAUGGCCGUUCUUAGUUGGUGGAGUGAUUUGUCUGCUUAAUUGCGAUAACGAACGAGACCUUUAACCUGCUAAAUAGCCCGUACUGCUUUGGCAGUUCGCCGGCUUCUUAGAGGGACUAUCGG